GGCGUGCUCGUGGGUCAGUGCGGGUUCUAGGCGAAAAAAAACAAAACAAAAAAACCGAAAGUUAAUUGGCCGCGCAAUGCUCGUAACCCGUCAAAGGUUUUCGCACUUCCUCAAGAAUUCAGAACAAUCUGCGCUUGCUCCCAGCUUGUUGUUGUUUGUGGCUGUUUGGCGUUUGACUUUCUCUGUUUCUCUGAACAAAUUUCAC
Molecule: long non-coding RNA, 205 nt
Filed under: Drosophila guanche
Lineage: Eukaryota; Metazoa; Arthropoda; Insecta; Diptera; Drosophilidae
Source: RNAcentral